Molecule: ribosomal RNA, 253 nt
Filed under: uncultured bacterium
Lineage: Bacteria
Description: partial 16S ribosomal RNA
Rfam family: Bacterial small subunit ribosomal RNA
Source: RNAcentral
UCCGGGGGGGGCAAGCGUUGUUCGGAAUUACUGGGCGUAAAGGGCGCGUAGGCGGUUCGCUAAGUUGAAUGUGAAAACUCUGGGCUUAACCCAGAGCCUGCAUCCAAAACUGGCGAACUGGAGUACUGGAGGGGAAAGCGGAAUUCCUGGUGUAGCGGUGAAAUGCGUAGAUAUCAGGAGGAACACCGGUGGCGAAGGCGGCUUUCUGGACAGUAACUGACGCUGAGGCGCGAAAGCGUGGGGAGCAAACAGG